GGGCUACGUCGACCUCGUCACCACCGACGUGGAGGACAUCAAGGACGCGCUCAAGGGGGCGGAGUACGACACGGCGACGCGCGGCAAGCGGCACCUGGCCGCGGCGAGGGCGAUGGGCGAGGGCGUGUACCGCAUCCUCAAGCACGAGGGCCGCGGCGGCCGCCCGCACACCCACCUCGUCUACAAGCUGGAGCUGCCCUCGCGCGGCGGCGGCGGCGACGAGGGCGGCGUCGGGGAGCCGCAGGAGGCCAUGAACGUGGAGCCGGAGGCGUCGUUCCUGGUGCAGAUCAAGAACCCGGAGCAGCGCGGCGGGGGCAGGGGCGGAGGCGGAGGGUUCGGCGGGCUGCAGGGCAAGCGGAAGGCCGCGUUCCCGGAGCACCUGCAGGGGCGGUUCGGGAGCAACCGCUACGCGCCGGCCGACCCGCCGGACCUGCUCAACUACGAGGGGUGCGAGCUGCUGCUGAUCUCGGCGUCCGACGACGUCGAGGAGGAGCUGGGCCUGGAGCUGCAGACGGAGACGGAGGAGGAGACUGAGGAAGGAGCCGGUGACGGCGGCGAGGGCGGCCGCGCCGGGGCCGGGUGCUCGGACCUGGUGAAGAUGUUCGGCGAGGUGGCCGACGUGAAGCCGCUGCUCAGCGGGAGCUGGGACUAGUUUAGCUCAACUAGCAGCAGUGCAGUAGACUACGUAGCGAGGUUAGCUAGGUAGGUUACAGAGGAGGCCAUGUUUUAAUGGUUGUGUAGCUUGGCAGAAGCUCGCUCUGCAGUUCUGCAAUUGUGACGCGAAAAUGCUUCACACACGACAGUGUUUGGACGAUAACUGCACGAUCGAGGGAUCCAGCGGCCGCUGCUGGGCUGUGCUCGACAUUCUUCGGCUGGAUUUAACCGUCGUGCACAAGUCGUCCAAACUUUAUCGUCCCCAUAGCACUGCUCAUUGUGACGCGUUGUUUCCAUGUAUCGCAUGUAUCGCAGCAGUGUUCGACUUAAUUUACAUCGCUUGUUGAAGUGUGAUAUUGUCCAUACUGGAGUAUCUGGUCAUCUCGAUUCAGGUUUAGGUUUGGCAUUGGUUUAUGUAGAGCUCAGGGAGUUUUAGGUUUUUGCUAUUGCAAACACGCAAUCCAAAUCAAUCGAUCACUUGGCAAACUAUGGAUAUAUAACAGUUAUUAUGAAAAUAAGCAUCAAAGUGGCUGUAGUUUAGUGGUGAGAAUUCCACGUUGUGGCCGUGGAGACCUGGGCUCGAAUCCCAGCAGCCACAUUUCUCUUUUUCUUUUCCUUUUUGCAUUUGUAUCUGUUGUUGUCUUUCAAAUAUUGAUAUUUUUGGGUUAGUAUUUUAACUAUUUCCUACUCCCUCCGUUUUAAUGCACUGUGUAUACUUUUUGUCAAAAGUAGGAAACUAUAAACUUUGGCCAUGUUUAUAGGCAAAAUAUGUACACUCAAAAAAUAGCA
This 1443-nucleotide long non-coding RNA is filed under the name Triticum aestivum (bread wheat). RNAcentral describes it as "long non-coding RNA (TAES_LNC009949)". The stretch from base 1181 to 1252 matches the Rfam family "tRNA". The record is from RNAcentral. Lineage: Eukaryota; Viridiplantae; Streptophyta; Magnoliopsida; Poales; Poaceae.